RNAcentral lists this ribosomal RNA (327 nucleotides) under Triticum aestivum (bread wheat). RNAcentral's name for it is "partial small subunit ribosomal RNA". Lineage: Eukaryota; Viridiplantae; Streptophyta; Magnoliopsida; Poales; Poaceae. The record is from RNAcentral.
CUCUUCCAGUGUCGGUUCACAGUGAGAGUGUGGACGGAGAUCAAGACUUGGCUUGGCCUCCACGACAUUGAUCCGUCAGAUUGGAGACUCAUGCCCUCGGUGAAAGUUUGUUGGGACAUGGUUGCUCGCAAAAGGGGCCACUCACGCAUGGUUCAUAGCACUUUGAUGAUGCUUGUUGUGUGGGAAAUUUGGAACGAACGCAACGCGAGGGUUUUCCGCAACACCGCCGCCCCUACUACCGUUGUCAUUGCCAAGAUUAAAGAUGAGGCCUCUAUUUGGGCUCGUGCAGGUGCGAAGUAUUUAUGUAAUAUUAUGCCGCGAGAGUGA